CCUGGUUACUCAGAGAGUAAAGAGUCUGCCUGCAAUGCAGGAGACCUGGGUUCAAUCCCAGGGUCAGGA
This 69-nucleotide transfer RNA is filed under the name Bos taurus (domestic cattle). It matches the Rfam family "tRNA". From Rfam's summary of the family: Transfer RNA (tRNA) molecules are approximately 80 nucleotides in length. The record is from Rfam by way of RNAcentral. Lineage: Eukaryota; Metazoa; Chordata; Mammalia; Artiodactyla; Bovidae. RNAcentral also lists the same sequence under 5 other names.